This 2737-nucleotide long non-coding RNA is filed under the name Olea europaea subsp. europaea. The record is from RNAcentral. Lineage: Eukaryota; Viridiplantae; Streptophyta; Magnoliopsida; Lamiales; Oleaceae.
UCUAUAUUUAAAAUUUAUUUGUGCUUAUCCAAUGCUCGACUUUUGCUGUUGUUAAUGACAUUAUCCAACCACCGUAUUCUUAAAUAAGAUUUAGUAGACAAAUGAUAUAAGUUUCUCUACUACCAAACUCAAUACCGAUUGGUCCAUAUUUUAGCUUUCUCUCCAAUCAAAAAGCACAAACUUUCCCUAGCAUCAAUUUAAUAAUCCAAAGGAGCCCUAUAUAACAAGUGAUGCAUUUUCUCGAGUUCGUACUUUUAUCUCAUUCUUUUCGCAAAGGUUGAAGUGAAUGUGAUGAAAUAAAUAGGAAGAGCUUAUGGUUCCUUAUUUUUACCUUGAUUUCCUAGUUAUGUCAGCUGUUGCUCUAUCCCUAAGGUAAGCUCUCUUCUCAGGUAAAUUGUCUCCUAAAUAUUGGUUAUAUAUAGGGUCAAAGUACAAUGCCUACUUCAGACCUCUGCUAAAAGAGCUUCAGAUCUGAUUCUACCACCCGGAGGUCGUAUAGAUUGAAAUCCGGAUAAAUGAGAACUGAAGCUUAUUUUAUCUAGGAAUUUACAUAUAAAUCAUGAAACGUGUACCGUCUAUGCCUUCACAAUCACAUGAUCACCUUACCCCCAAACUAGCAUUUUACUAUCAGUCUCUCUAUUUUUUACACUGGGUUAGAUCUUGUUCGGUACGAAUAACCAUUAUCAAACCGAAACAUGAGUAUACGAUUAGAUAAGAUUUGACAAGUGUAAAUACUAAAUGCAAUCGUAACACAAUGCAUUGGUUAAUCAAAAGCAAAUAAAUAAAAGGGUUAGAAAUUAGAUGAGUCAAGAAGUAAUAGAUGCACAAACAAAGUCAAGAAACCCAAGCUUAUGAAAGUUCAAUUUUCGAACAAAAAGAAAGAAAAAUUAUUGAGCAGAGCUCAACUUCCUUGAAGCAAGCCAACUCGCAUGGUAGAGUGGACCAGGCCGAGCCCCACGGUAGACACAUUGAGCAACUCUAAUCUAUCCAUUUUAACACCUCUAACCAUAUCACCACAUAUAUAUAAUUAAUAAAGUUGCACCUUUUUUUAGUUGAAACACAGACAACAUCUAUUGGGAUUCUUAGGCUUGUUGCUUGACUCGUCGGAUCUUCAGGUUUGGAUUUGUGAUAUCAUGUGGUUCAAAUUUCAAAUAAUUAAUUGGGACGACUGGUAGAGAGAAGAUGACCCCCCAUAUGUUGGCGACCCCAGCUAUGUCGGGUAGCGCCUAUGAUGAUAUGACGAUUACCGUAGUGAUAGUUCGAUUGACACUACAUUCGCUUGCUCGUAAGGUACAGAUAGCUUUGGCAUGUCAGGUGACGCUCAUCAUAUUAAAGCACUAAUUGCUAUGCUAGUCCAACCGCCGUCACGCGCAGAGCGACCACCGUCUACCAGAACAACAUUGGAAUCGGUAAACAACCAUCCGAACGGUUAUUAUUAAACCCACUACCCCUGGUAAUCGAAUGAAGAGCGGGCAAGUCUCAUGAGGGCACGUAGAUGACAACUGCCAGACGGUUACGUGAUGCUAGAUUGAUGCGGACACGUGGAUGGUAACUGCCCAGCGAUUAUGUGAUGCCAGAUGCCUAGAAAUAACCCAAGAGAAUGUUAGGUAAAGGGAUUCUUUCUUUUUCCAGAAAAAAUUCUUUCCUCUGUCACUAUUGCAAUUCUUUAAAAACAUUUAUCUAAAAAUGAUUACUGACUCUCACGCCAGAGGUAAAACGAGGAAGGGAGCCCUAGCCUCUUUUUGCAGGAUCACUGGAGGACAAGAGACCACUUUUUCACUGGAAAAAACACGGAGUUACACCAGAAAUAUUUCAAUUUGUGAUCUUGUUUUAUUGAUAAAUCAACUAACUCCGUCCUUGUCAUGAUACUAGCCCAGUUGAGAGUGAAAUCAAAAAGGGAAAUGUAAAAUAGAAAAGCAACCAAUUUCACAAGGUGUCUAAGAAGUCUUGCAUCUUUAUGCUUUUUAAAAAUCAAUUAUGGAAAUGUCAAUAAUAAAACCAGAACAGUAUGAAUUGAAAGAGAGAUGUAGCUGAAACCCUGUUUUAGAUGGUUUUACAGUUAGUGUAUUUGUUGCACAUGGUACUAAUCGAGUCUCUACCAUAUAUUGGACAAGAUUGUCAUCAUGUUCUCAAAUCCUCUUUGCCAAACAUGCCAUAAGUUUACGACAUAUGAAUACGUCCUAAGGGCAUCUACUUCUAAUGCAGAUAAUUGAAUAUGAUAGGGAGAAACCAACAGCAGAUUAUUAAACAUUCAUAAGAACACUACAGCUGAAAUUUCAAUACACAGUAAACUAACGGACCGACACCAACACCUUCCUCCAGCAGAGUACCGAAAGAAGGGAUGAAAUAUCAUGAUGUGAAGAAUGUCCACAACUUUCUACCAAUCAACAUUUCACCCGGAUGCUCAGAAUUGUCAUCUAUGUCGUCGUCUUCAUCAUCCACAAUCAACGUGCUGUCUUGUUCAUCCUCACUAUUGUAUUCUGGGGUAACUGUUAGAUUUUUUCAUCAUUUUGCAUGUGUUUAAUUUUUUGUUUUGCGAAUGAUUUGCUGCCCGGAUUAGUGUUUGCCGCUGCGCAACGGGGUUCGACCUGGGCGAAUUCUCAUUUGCAAAUACAUUAAACAAUUUAUUCUUCCUUCUUUCUCUUGGCAUCAAUCAGUUAUUUUCGAGUGUCUUCUUGGUUUGAUCAAAUAGUCACAAUUUGAAUCAAACGCUUCCAUUGUAUCCAGAGAGAGAUUU